GAGAGAGACAUGCGCGCAUAUCAAUAAGCGGAGGAAAAGAAACUAACAAGGAUUCCCUUAGUAACGGCGAGUGAAGCGGGAAGAGCUCAAAUUUGAAAUCUUCAAGGUUUUACCUUGACGAAUUGUAGUUUAAAGAAGUGUUUUCUGCUGAAGUUUUGGUAAAAGUUCUUUGGAAUAGGACAUCAUAGAGGGUGAGAAUCCCGUAUUUGACCAUUAUUUUCAGCUUUGUGAUACACUUUCAAAGAGUCGGAUUGUUUGGGAAUGCAGUCCAAAAUGGGUGGUAAAUUUCAUCUAAAGCUAAAUAUUGGCGAGAGACCGAUAGCGAACAAGUACCGUGAGGGAAAGAUGAAAAGAACUUUGAAAAGAGAGUUAAACAGUACGUGAAAUUGUCAAAAGGGAAGCGUUUGACACCAGUGUUGUUUUCUCGAAAAUCAAUUAAAAAUGGCUCGAUUUUGUAUUGCUUGAGACCUUAAAAGCUCACUGUACAUUUUUCGUGUCUUUUUUAAUGCACUUUUCGUUUAACAAGUCAACAUCAAUUUCUUUUGUUGUAAAAGGGUCAUUGGAAGGUGGCUUUCUUUUCGGAGAAAGUGUUUAUAGCCUUUGGCCUCUGCUAAUCGAAGAGACUGAGGUCUGCAGCGUAGACUCUUCGGGGUUAGAUACAUUUGUGCUAAGUUAUAGCUUUUUAUAGACAACUUGUUGACUAUAAUUAGUCUUGUAGCUUACUCGCUUAUGCUAUUUUACCUACGCUUAGGAUGUUGAAGUCAUCGUAUCGCGC
RNAcentral lists this ribosomal RNA (775 nucleotides) under uncultured Neocallimastigales. RNAcentral describes it as "partial large subunit ribosomal RNA". It matches the Rfam family "Eukaryotic large subunit ribosomal RNA", at positions 23 to 645 of the family's 3401-position model. The record is from RNAcentral. Lineage: Eukaryota; Fungi; Neocallimastigomycota; Neocallimastigomycetes; Neocallimastigales.